This 464-nucleotide ribosomal RNA is filed under the name uncultured bacterium. RNAcentral describes it as "partial 16S ribosomal RNA". It matches the Rfam family "Bacterial small subunit ribosomal RNA", at positions 339 to 795 of the family's 1533-position model. The record is from RNAcentral.
CUACGGGGGGCUCCAGUGGGGAAUAUUGCACAAUGGGCUCAAGCCUGAUGCAGCCAUGCCGCGUGUAUGAAGAAGGCCUUCGGGUUGUAAAGUACUUUCAGCGGGGAGGAAGGGAGUAAAGUUAAUACCUUUGCUCAUUGACGUUACCCGCAGAAGAAGCACCGGCUAACUCCGUGCCAGCAGCCGCGGUAAUACGGAGGGUGCAAGCGUUAAUCGGAAUUACUGGGCGUAAAGCGCACGCAGGCGGUUUGUGAAGUCAGAUGUGAAAUCCCCGGGCUCAACCUGGGAACUGCAUCUGAUACUGGCAAGCUUGAGUCUCGUAGAGGGGGGUAGAAUUCCAGGUGUAGCGGUGAAAUGCGUAGAGAUCUGGAGGAAUACCGGUGGCGAAGGCGGCCCCCUGGACGAAGACUGACGCUCAGGUGCGAAAGCGUGGGGAGCAAACAGGAUUAGAUACCCUCGUAGUC